This 488-nucleotide long non-coding RNA is filed under the name Nicotiana benthamiana. RNAcentral's name for it is "long non-coding RNA (NBEN_LNC028227)". The record is from RNAcentral. Lineage: Eukaryota; Viridiplantae; Streptophyta; Magnoliopsida; Solanales; Solanaceae.
UAGACAAGCCUUACCCCUACCCAAAAGGGCAGAGAGGUGUUUCCAAUCGGCCCCCGGCUCAUAGGAUAAAAGGAAAAACAACAGUAAAACAAAAACAAAGACAAAAACAAAAACAAUAAAGCAUUAGUAACUCUAGCAGAAAUAGCGCAAAUAGCGAGAAUAAUUAUCUAAACAUACGAUACAUAAAUACAAUCGCAUGCAGUAAUAUCAUACAGUAACUACCAUAACUAACAGUCAUAGGGGGGACAUAAGCUAAAACACAAGACAUCUAUGGGUAACUCUGCUGACCCACACCCAACCCCAGAUGGGGCGCACGAAAAACUCUAGGAGCCCCUAUCCUACAACCCUGAUUCUAGACCUCCAGACUUUCCUAUCGAGGGUCAUGUACUCGGAAACCUGCAUUCUAGUCAUGUCCUGCCUAAUCACCUCUCCCCAAUACUUCUUAGGCCUCCCUCUGCCUCGCCGACCGCCAACAAUCUCCAGCCGCN